UACAUUGUGAACCUGGCUUCGGCCCAAACUUUUUUAGUAAAGAAGUACCUACAAACAAAAACAACUUUCAACAACGGAUCUCUAGGCUCUCGCAUCGAUGAAGAACGCAGAGAAUUGCGAUAAGUAAUGUGAAUUUCAGAACCGUGAAUCAUCGAAUCUUUGAACGCACCUUGCGCCCUCUGGUAUUCCGGAGGGCAUGCCUGUUUGAGUGUCAUAAAUACCUCACCCUCUGGGUUUCCAGGGACGUGGACUUGGGUGCUGCCAUUUGUGGCUCGCCUUAAACGCAUCAGUGACAGCGGUGUAAUACGUUUCACCAAACGCACUAUAAUUCCCUCGGGAUGCAUUAUGCACUUUUAUCAUGACCUCAAAUCAGGUAGGGCUACCCGCUGAACUUAAGCAUAUCAA
RNAcentral lists this ribosomal RNA (405 nucleotides) under Cryptococcus sp. 3 MG19. RNAcentral describes it as "eukaryotic LSU rRNA". The stretch from base 63 to 214 matches the Rfam family "5.8S ribosomal RNA". Lineage: Eukaryota; Fungi; Basidiomycota; Tremellomycetes; Tremellales; Cryptococcaceae. The record is from RNAcentral.